CCAUCCCAGCACACGUGUACAACCUUGUUUUCCUUACAGAAUUUACAUCUCUUCUUUGAGAGGGUAAAUCCCCUUUUCUCUCCUCUGGCAGCUCUGAGAGGGGAAUGGGGAAGGGAGCGGCUUCACCAAAUCUUGAGGCCUGCCCAUGGAUCACCAAAGCAAAUCUGGGAAGGAGAUUCUUUUGGAGUCUAGAUCUGACCGAGUGCUCCAGCCGCACGCGGACUCUGCGGCGCCCAGCAGCGAGACCGCAUCUCGCCGUUGCUGAUCUGCAGAGGCAAAAGCGGUCACCGGGAGGCCACGGGAGAGUAUAAGAGAUUGCUCUCCUGUUCGUGGCGCUGGGACCAUGAGCUAUGUCGUCUGAUUGAACGACCAGCUUGUUCCUUGCCGUCCGUGGCAGAGAUGGUUUUGAUUAUUGUCUCUUGAACACAUCCGUAGCAAUUAUAUGAAGUUUUGUAUAUUAAAAGGGAGUCAAACGCGAAGGCAAGUUGUGGGCUUCCUAGUUGCUACUGCUUUUGGCUUCCACCUAUGUAAUGUGUGCUACAACUUUGCAUCAUUCCUACAUCCCUCCACAUCGGCUUAUUCUUCAUAGAUGAGAGGUUGUUGGGACCUCAGCAGGUCGGUCUUGACUUCAUUGGGCAUCGAGUUGCACGAUGAUGUCGCAACUUUGGAUGAAUAUCGAUGUUCGUAUGACAUCGUGUCCAGAAUCACAUGCUUCAAUUUGUAGCACCCUGACUAUGCUUAACGGCUUGGAUAAUUCCAGUGGAAUGGCUGUAGGGUUACCUCCUCCUCGUCGCCUCGGCCACCGUCACUUCUUUGGAGCUUGCAUCCACGCCCAUCAUGUGUUAGCUGUUCGGGGCCCUCUGUCAUAUUCGUAUAUGUGAUGUAGGUCAUUCUCUCUCCCUCGGCAAGCCUAGCUUUCUUUGCUACUGUUGGUCUCCAGCGGUGAGACUUCAUCCUUGAUCAGGUCAUCUUCCCAAGGAUUUAAGGAAAGCCUCUAUAUCAUAGACUAUAUUAACUGAGAUGAUUAGGUUCCUGUGCUAGGAGCCAAAGUGAUUGUUCCUCCACCGCCUACAUGUAAUCUGAUUGAGCGAUCAAUGAUAUUAAAACAAGUACUUACUUAUAAUGA
This is a long non-coding RNA of Triticum urartu, 1126 nucleotides long. RefSeq lists it as uncharacterized. The record is from RefSeq and is a predicted model, not a curated record. NCBI's taxonomy places the organism in Eukaryota, Viridiplantae, Streptophyta, Magnoliopsida, Poales, Poaceae.